CUGACGCUGAGUCUCGAAAGCGUAGGGAGCAAACAGGAUUAGAUACCCUGGUAGUCUACGCUGUAAACGAUGCACACUUGGUGUUAAUCGAAAGGUUAGUACCGAAGCUAACGUGUUAAGUGUGCCGCCUGGGGAGUAUGUUCGCAAGAAUGAAACUCAAAGGAAUUGACGGGGGCCCGCACAAGCGGUGGAGCAUGUGGUUUAAUUCGAUGAUACGCGAGGAACCUUACCAGGGCUUGACAUAUACAGGAUAUAGUUAGAGAUAACUAUUCCCCGUUUGGGGUCUGUAUACAGGUGCUGCAUGGUUGUCGUCAGCUCGUGCCGUGAGGUGUUGGGUUAAGUCCCGCAACGAGCGCAACCCUUGUUGUCUGUUACCAGCAUGUAAAGAUGGGGACUCAGACGAGACUGCCGGUGAUAAGCCGGAGGAAGGUGAGGAUGACGUCAAAUCAUCAUGGCCCUUAUGUCCUGGGCUACACACGUGCUACAAUGGCCUGUACAAAGCGAUGCGAAACAGUGAUGUGAAGCAAAACGCAGAAAGCAGGUCUCAGUCCAGAUUGAAGUCUGAAACUCGACUUCAUG
This 579-nucleotide ribosomal RNA is filed under the name uncultured Borrelia sp. RNAcentral describes it as "bacterial SSU rRNA". It matches the Rfam family "Bacterial small subunit ribosomal RNA", at positions 740 to 1322 of the family's 1533-position model. Lineage: Bacteria; Pseudomonadati; Spirochaetota; Spirochaetia; Spirochaetales; Borreliaceae. The record is from RNAcentral.